This 253-nucleotide ribosomal RNA is filed under the name uncultured bacterium. Its description in RNAcentral is "partial 16S ribosomal RNA". It matches the Rfam family "Bacterial small subunit ribosomal RNA", at positions 524 to 776 of the family's 1533-position model. The record is from RNAcentral.
UACGUAGGGUGCAAGCGUUGAUCGGCAUUACUGGGCGUAAAGCGCACGUAGGCGGCUUUGUAAGUUAGAGGUGAAAGCCUGGGGCUCAACUCCGGAAUUGCCUUUAAGACUGCAUCGCUAGAAUUGUGGAGAGGUAAGUGGAAUUCCGAGUGUAGAGGUGAAAUUCGUAGAUAUUCGGAAGAACACCAGUGGCGAAGGCGACUUACUGGACACAUAUUGACGCUGAGGUGCGAAAGCGUGGGGAGCAAACAGG